This is a long non-coding RNA of Bos taurus (domestic cattle), 1428 nucleotides long. NCBI's taxonomy places the organism in Eukaryota, Metazoa, Chordata, Mammalia, Artiodactyla, Bovidae. The record is from Ensembl.
CCGCCCCAUCUUGCCCCCAGAAGGCGAACCUGUUAAGGGGAAGGGAGACACUUAAGACACUUGACAGCAACUUCGUGUGACUCUGAAGGGCACACUGGAAAGUUUCCUAGAUUGAAGGCAACUCCAGAUUUAAACCUAUCUAUCCAAUUACUGUAUAAACCAGAUGAAAAUUUAACAGUGGAACACCGUGGGCAAUUUCAGCCUGGGGACAUUUGGCAGUGUCUGGAAACGGGACAGGAGAGAGGUAUCUGAUAUCCAACAGACUCAGAAUGCUGCUAAACACCCUGCAAUGCACAGGACAGUCCACCACAACAAGAAAACGAUCCCACUCCAAAUGUUAAUAAAGCCUGGGCCUCCCAGGUCACAGCGGUAAAGAAUCCACCUGCCAGUGCAGGAGACACAAAAAUACAGGUUCAGUCCCUGGGUCAGGUAGAUCCUCUGGAGGAGGAAAUGACAACCCACUCCAGUAUUAUUGCCUGGAAAAUUCCAUGGACAGAGGAACCUGGUAGGCUACACUCCCUGAGGUCACAGAGAUUUGGCCACGACUGAUCACCACCAAGAAGCUAUAUCCUAAAACUGCUAAACCAGACUCUCUGGGAUAGAGGCCUGGAAGUCAACAUUUGACAAGCAUCUCAGCUACUUUUACCCACACGAAAGUUUGAGAAGCACUUCAGAUACAAAAUCCUUUUCUUGGAAUAUAUAUACAUGCUCCAUUUUGUUCCAGAUGGUAGUUACCUCUUUUAUUUAUUAGCCAUGCUAAUUAUAAGAUGUUAAUCUAACUAAAUAUGACAACUUAGCAAUUGCCUGAAUUUCUGAGUCUUACUGUAACAUUCAUUUUAGAUUGGAAAGCUGUUUGUAUUUUAAAAUUUCUGUUCCAUAUUACAUUAUUUUGGAUCAGCUAUCUACAUUUUCUAGAUGCCCUUUGUCUAAUCAAAAUUGUUUUGAACAGAAAACUAUUGCUAGUCUCUGGCUUGGCAAAGCAGUGCUUUGUCUGCUCCAGUCCACUGGUUUUUCCAGUAGCCAGAGUAACUGACUUGUCUAUUUCAUGUAUUUCUCUCAUCCCUUGAAGUAAUGCUGCUCUCCUCUCAAAUUUUUUCUCUUCUUUACUUUUGGCAUUUGAAAAUAUUUUUAGGGUAUAUUAGUGGUGUCUUAAGAGCAGAAGCAAGAAAAUGGUAGUGUCAUAAAAGCCACCAGAAGCACAAGGGAAAAUCUUAAAACUUCCAUUAAAAAAGGUCAUUGGAAAUUAUUAUGUGUUUCAGUGUAUAACAAAUUGAGAACUUGCCUCUCUAAAAAACUGUUUUAAGUAUUCUGUUUUAGAGAAUGCUUAGUUGCUCAGUCAUGUCCAUUCUUUGAGAACCUUUGGACUGUAGCCUACCAGGCUCCUCUGUUCAUGGGAUUUUUCAGGCAAGAAAUAUACGUGUGUGUGUG